This 92-nucleotide transfer RNA is filed under the name Streptomyces parvulus. Its description in RNAcentral is "tRNA-Val(gac)". Lineage: Bacteria; Bacillati; Actinomycetota; Actinomycetes; Kitasatosporales; Streptomycetaceae. The record is from RNAcentral.
UCGCCGUGGCGCCCGGGCUGACGGCGUUGAUGCGGACGCCGUCGGCGAUGUGGUCGAUUGCGGCGCCCCGGGUCAGCACCGAGACGGCGGCC